UCUGUCUGGCAGCACAGAUACUAAAAUUGGAACAAUACAGAAAAGACUAGCAUGGCCCCUGCCCAAAGAUGACAUGCAAAUUCUCAAAUUUGUGAAGUGUUCC
Small nuclear RNA from Mustela putorius furo (domestic ferret), 103 nucleotides. The record is from Ensembl. NCBI's taxonomy places the organism in Eukaryota, Metazoa, Chordata, Mammalia, Carnivora, Mustelidae.